Molecule: ribosomal RNA, 335 nt
Filed under: uncultured Pseudomonas sp.
Lineage: Bacteria; Pseudomonadati; Pseudomonadota; Gammaproteobacteria; Pseudomonadales; Pseudomonadaceae
Description: bacterial SSU rRNA
Rfam family: Bacterial small subunit ribosomal RNA
Source: RNAcentral
UCCGUGUCCGUGAGAUGUUCGGGUUAAGUUCCCGUAACGAGCGCAACCCUUGUCCUUAGGUUACCAGCACGUUAUGGUGGGCACUCUAAGGAGACUGACCGGUGGACAAACCGGGAGGAAGGUGGGGAUGACGUCAAGUCCAUCAUGGGCCCUUACGGCCUGGGCUACACACGUGCUACAAUGGUCGGUACAAAGGGUUGCCAAGCCGCGAGGUGGAGCUAAUACCCAUAAAACCGAUCGUAGUCCGGAUCGCAGUCUGCAACUCGACUGCGUGAAGUCGGAAUCGCUAGUAAUCGUGAAUCAGAAUGUCACGGUGAAUACCGUUCCCGGGCCUU